AUGCGUAAGAACUGCCGUGAAUGGGCCAA
RNAcentral lists this non-coding RNA (29 nucleotides) under Bombyx mori (domestic silkworm). Lineage: Eukaryota; Metazoa; Arthropoda; Insecta; Lepidoptera; Bombycidae. The record is from RNAcentral.